Molecule: unclassified non-coding RNA, 253 nt
Filed under: uncultured Phycisphaeraceae bacterium
Lineage: Bacteria; Pseudomonadati; Planctomycetota; Phycisphaerae; Phycisphaerales; Phycisphaeraceae
Description: contains 16S-23S intergenic spacer region
Rfam family: Bacterial small subunit ribosomal RNA
Source: RNAcentral
UACGAAGGGUCCAAGCGUUGCGCGGAUUCACUGGGCUUAAAGCGUGCGUAGGCGGAGACGCAAGCGUCUUGUGAAAGCCCCCGGCUCAACCGUGGAAUUGCAGGGCGAACUGCGUCUCUUGAGGACGGUAGAGGGUCCCGGAACUCUGGGUGUAGCGGUGAAAUGCGUAGAUAUCCAGAGGAACGCCGAUGGUGAAGACAGGCACCUGGGCCGGUUCUGACGCUGAGGCACGAAAGCAUGGGUAGCGAACAGG